AGCGGAGGAAAAGAAACUAACAAGGAUUCCCCUAGUAACGGCGAGUGAAGCGGGAUGAGCUCAAAUUUGAAAUCUGGCCGGUUUACUGGUCCGAGUUGUAAUUUAAAGAAGCGUUUUCGGUGACAGGCCGGGUAUAAAUCCUUUGGAACAGGGUAUCAUAGAGGGUGAGAAUCCCGUCUUUGACCCGGCUGUUGUUACUAUGUGAUACGUUUUCAAAGAGUCGAGUUGUUUGAGAAUGCAGCUCAAAAUGGGUGGUAAAUUUCAUCUAAGGCUAAAUAUUGGCGAGAGACCGAUAGCGAACAAGUACCGUGAGGGAAAGAUGAAAAGAACUUUGAAAAGAGAGUUAAACAGUGCGUGAAAUUGUUGAAAGGGAAACGUUUGACACCAGCUAUGUAGGCGGAAAAUCAGUCAAGAGCAGUGAGGGGCUGGUGCUUGUCCGGACCGUAAGGCCGGCUUGUAUCUCAUCUUUGCUGUUAAUGAUGCACUUUUCCGUUCGCAGGUCAACAUCAGUUUCGCUUGCUGGACAAAACCCCGAGAGAAGGUAGCAGCUUAGGCUGUGUUAUAGCUCUGGGGCGAUACAGUGGGUGGGACUGAGGAUUCGCAGUGUGUGCUUUCGGGCAAGGUUGACUGGGUGCUCUGGGAUUGUUUGGCGUACAAUGCUUGCAUUUUGCGUCUUGUCUUUUUCAUACUCGCUCAGAUCGGCUCUUCCACGCUUAGGAUGUUGACUUAAUGGUUUUAAACGACCCGUCUUGA
RNAcentral lists this ribosomal RNA (753 nucleotides) under Dissophora globulifera. Its description in RNAcentral is "LSU rRNA". It matches the Rfam family "Eukaryotic large subunit ribosomal RNA", at positions 49 to 657 of the family's 3401-position model. The record is from RNAcentral. Lineage: Eukaryota; Fungi; Mortierellomycota; Mortierellomycetes; Mortierellales; Mortierellaceae.